CUACUGCAGUCCCAACCUGCCUCGCUGCUGCCACUGUACCCUGCGCAUUGGUCCUGCUGUCACCUGCAGAAAACUCAUCCAGCAGAUUGCCUGAAAUUAACUUUUCCGCAGAACUUCUUCCCCUGGGGCUCAAGACGUUUUCAUCACACCAUUCUGGGGUUCUUUGAAGACAUCAGGAACCUCCUUUCAGGAUUCAAGUCACUCCCUAGGUAAGACUGACAUCAUCAUCUGAUAUCAGUUCCCACGGUGCUAUCGUGUAACCCGGCAAACAAGCCCUGCGGCGCUCAGCUGUGAAGUGUCCCUGCAGCUCACCCAUAGCAAACUGAGCUCUGCGUGGUACAAGAUGAGCCUGCACAUUCUGUCCCCUGUGGGCCAAGUGUCGUAGAGAAGAUGAAGGUUUUGCUUGAUAUAACAACUUUCAUUUUAGAAUAUUUUAUUUGCAUCCUUUCUGUCUGCCAGAAAUUACAUAGUUGGUACCAUUUUAUAUUAAGCCCCUUAUUAAAUUCUGGUGAUAAAUGAAAAUCAUUUUUUUAUAGAAGAAGAUGUUACUUUUCAAUUGUUACUAGUAGAGGAAUGAAUAUUCAUCUUGAAGUAUAAAAUAUUUAUGAAAUGAGGAAAGAGAGUGACCAGAAUGCACUCUUGCCUUCCUUCCUUUGGAAGGCAUUAGCUCAUGCAUUAAUAGCCCACUCCUACUCGCUUUGGUUUCCUUACUCAUAUUACACUGUAAAUCUUUGGACAUUGCCAACCAACCAAUCAUACUCAGUGUGAUGUAACCCUGAAUAAUCUCUGUCUAUGGAUUUACAGGCUGAGAAGGUACCAGUGAAUCAAAGAAUGAUGAUUUGAUCACUUUGGACUGUCUUAAAUAAAGUGGUACUAAAUAUAAGUGUGGCCAGUUCUAGAACAAUCAUGCACAUGCACGAUUCAGGAUACUGUCCUGCUAAAUAUUUCUGUAACAUAACAAAUCAUUCUACUAAAUAAGAACAUAACAUAUUGCAAUAUGAAAUAUUAAUGGAGGACUUUGGUUGAAACAAUUACUUUAAAAAAAAGUAAUGUCAAGGUAGCUCAGCAGGUAAAGACAUAAACUGAUGAGUCUGCUAACAAACUCACACGGUGAAAGGAAGCGACUUUGAUUCCAGCAAGUUGUCUUCUGAAACACAUGUGUUGUAGUGGUUGUGUACACACACACACACACACACACACACACACACACACAAUGGAUCACUGCCAAGAAUUUCUUUAAUAAAAUGGGCUACAGUCAGAGCUAACUGGAUAGCAAAACCCUGUUAAUAGAAAGUUUGUUAUGAAAAGUCCUUAAACUAACCACGCAAGAAAGAAAUCCCAGCAUGCCUAGCUUCCAGUAAAUGGCAUGCUAUUCAGCUCAGCCUCAUUAUUUCAACUCAGCUUCUAGGGGACAAUCAAAAGAGUAACUAGGAAUCUGGAUAUAAUUGCACAUUAUAUCAAGAAUAUUAAAUCACCACAGUGUGUGAGCUUUGACAGUUUACAGCAAGGUGUCUAAGCAGAUGCUGAGAGACUCAUAGCCAAACUUUAAGCAGAGUGCAGAGAAUCUUAUGAAAGAAGGAGGAGAUAGACCUGGAGAGGACAGGAGCUCCACAAAGAGACCAACAGAACCGAAAAGCCUGGGCCUGGAGGUCGUUUGUGAGACUGAUACUCCAACCAAGGACCAUGCGUGGAAAUAACCUAGAAUCCUUGCAAAGAUGUAGCCCAUGGCAGCUCAGUCUCCAAGUGGGUUUUCUAGUAAUGGGAACAGGGACUGUCUCUGACAUGAACUCAGUGGCUGGCUCUUUGAUCACUUCCCCCUGAGGGGGGAGCAGCCUUACCAGGCCACAGAGAAAGACAAUGCAUCCAGUCCUGAUGAGACCUGACAGGCUAGGGUCAAAGGGAAAGAUAGGAGGACCUUCUCUAUCAGUGGACUUGGGGAGGGGCAUGAGAGAAGACAAGGGAGAGAGAGGUAAUGAGAGAGGGGGUUACAGCUGGGAUGCAAAGUGAAUAAAAUGUAAUUUAUAAAACAAAUAAUAAAUUAUUUAAGAAAAAGAAAAAUCAACUCAACAUUGAUUCAACCUGAUGCUAUCAAAUCAUGUAGGGAAAUCUACAGUAACUGGCUGUCUUCAAUAACAACACCCUUCAGUUCCAUUUUGAUGUCACAAUUAUUACUAUGUAUAAGUAAAUGAUAUGUUCAGUGACUGUCAUAUGACGAACAAAGACAAAAGAAUUUGCAGCAAGUUUCCAACUGGAACAGAAAGGUGAUGAUGGAAAAAUUCCCAAACACACUGGCAGCUCCCUGGAAGCUGGAAUGCAGUUUGGAAGAGACAGUA
Meriones unguiculatus (Mongolian gerbil) is the source of this 2333-nucleotide long non-coding RNA. RefSeq lists it as uncharacterized. The record is from RefSeq and is a predicted model, not a curated record. The transcript has 3 exons. NCBI's taxonomy places the organism in Eukaryota, Metazoa, Chordata, Mammalia, Rodentia, Muridae.